UACGUAGGGGGCUAGCGUUGUCCGGAAUCAUUGGGCGUAAAGAGCGUGUAGGCGGCCCGGUAAGUCCGCUGUGAAAGUCGGGGGCUCAACCCUCGAAUGCCGGUGGAUACUGUCGGGCUAGAGUGCGGAAGAGGCGAGUGGAAUUCCUGGUGUAGCGGUGAAAUGCGCAGAUAUCAGGAGGAACACCGGUGGCGAAGGCGGGUCUCUGGGCAGUAACUGACGCUGGAGGAGCGAAAGCGUGGGGAGCGAACAGG
Molecule: ribosomal RNA, 254 nt
Filed under: uncultured bacterium
Lineage: Bacteria
Description: partial 16S ribosomal RNA
Rfam family: Bacterial small subunit ribosomal RNA
Source: RNAcentral